UCACGAUAGAUGGAGCAGAUAGAUGG
Molecule: non-coding RNA, 26 nt
Filed under: Mus musculus (house mouse)
Lineage: Eukaryota; Metazoa; Chordata; Mammalia; Rodentia; Muridae
Source: RNAcentral